CGGAGCACAGCACAGAGCACACACCACAGCGCACACAGCACAGAGCAUGCAACACAGCACAGAGCGCACCGCGUGCACAGCACACAGCGAGCACGGACCACACAGCGCACGGAGCACACAGCGCACGGAGUGCACAGCACAGCGCAGGCUUCUGGAGCAGAUUCUGGAGGAAGUCCUGGUUCCGCCACUUACCAGCUGUGCGGUUUGGGGCACAGUUCUUCCCCUGCCUUAGUUUAUUUAUCUACAGAAUGGGGUGGGACUAAUAUUUAGUAGGGUUGCUGAGAAUUAAAUGAGUUAAAUAUAGAAGAAUAUCUUUGAACUUGGCAGGCAGUAGACAAAAGUUUCUUAGAGUUAAUAUGUAUGAAGUGCUUAGUGUUUGGCACAUAGUAAAUAAUAUUCGAUGUUAUGUUUUUCUCCACAAAUACGAAUUAUGUCCUCAGCCACCGUAACUGCCCAAGGGGUUCACCUUGCCUGCUGCCUAGACUGAGCCGAUUCAUCAAGACAGGGGAAUUGCAAUAGAGAAAGAGUAAUUUACGCAGAGCCGGCUGUGCAGGAGACCGGAGUUUUUUUUAUUACUCAAAUCAGUCUCGCCAAGCAUUCGGGGAGUCGAGUUUUUAAGGAUAACUUGGUGAGUGGGGGGAAGCCAGUGAGCCAGGAGUGCUGAUUGGUCAGGGAUGAAAUCAUAGGAAGUCGAAACUGUUGUCUUGUGCUGAAUCAGUUCCGGGGGGUCCAGGGGCACAAGAUCCGAUGAACCAGUUUAUUGAUCUGGGUGGUGCCAGCUGAUCUAUCAAGUGCAGGGUCUGCAAAAUAUCUCCAGCACUGAUCUUAGGACCAGUUUAAGGAGGGUCAGAAUCUUGUAGACUUCCAGCUGCAUGACUCCUAAACCAUAAUUUUUAAUCUUGUGGGUAAUGUUAGUCCUACAAAGGCAAUCUACUCCCCAGGCAAGAAGGCGGUCUGCUUUGGGAAAGGGCUGUUACCGUCUUUGUUUAAAUUAGAAAAACUAAGUCUCUCCCAAAGUUAGUUCAGCCUAUGCCCAGGAAUGAACAAGGACAGCUUGGGGGUUAGAGGCAAGAUGGAGUCAGUUAAGUUAGAUCUCUUUCACUGUCUCAGUCAUGAUUUUACAAAGGCGGUUUCACCAUCCCUCCCAUAAACAUGCAGGAGCAGCUAAAGGCAAUUUGGUUUUGAAUUACAUGUUUAUCCUUAUAUCUAAACUAGCAGAAGAAUAUAUUUCAAAAUGUAGGAGAUGGGGCUGGGCGAGGUGGCUCUCACACCUGUAAUCCCAGCACUUUGGGAGGCUGAGGGGGGUGGAUCACUUGAGUCCAGGAGUUCAACACCAGCCUGGGCAACAUGGUGAAACCCCGUCUCUACAAAAAAUACAAAAAAAGUUAGCCGCGCAUGGUGGUGUGCACCUGUAGUCCCAGCUACUCAGGAGGCUGAGAUGGGAGGAUCGUUUGAGCCUGGGAGGUCCAGUCUGCAGUGAGCUGUGAUUGCACUGUUGCACUUCAGCCUGUGUGACAGAAUGAGACCCUGUCUCAAAGAAAACAAAAGUAGGAGAUGGGAUUAUGGUGCUUACUUUUUUCCUUUUCUUUACUUUGUGCCCUUUCAAAUUUUCCAAAGUUUGUAUAUUGAGCAUUUGUUAUUUUUGCAACUAUGGAAAAUGCCAAUUUUCUUUCCCCCCAAAAGACAAGAGAAGGCUCCUGGGAUGAUAAUGGUGUAGGUUAGGAGAAACUUGUUCCCGUGAGUUGAUUAAAGCUCAAACACCAGGCAAGGCUCCUUGGGAAAUGGGUGGACCUUAAAAAUUAAUGAUUCCCUGCUGUUUGUGUCUCAGAAGAAACCUGUGUUUAUUUAUUGCUCUUCAGACUUGCCAUUUCAGCAUAUUGAAAAGAAACCAAACAGAGAGAAAUUAAAAGUGCAUGACUCGAUUCCUUCCUACAAGCUAAAUUGUUCUGAAAAUUUCCUCUUGGAUUCCCAGAUUUUAAGACGCUUAGUCUGCUUCCUGCCCCUAAUUGCUCUAUUAAUUUAAUCUGCUCAAAGUCUCCCAAGAGUCUAGGUCAUCCGCCUUUGGGGCUGGCUCUGUCUGGUAUGGACUGGUCUUCUCCAUAGACAGUUUUGCUGAGUUGUUUUACAUGUUACCCAACCUUCUACUUUGCUAGUUUUCUCCUUCCAAGAGGGUUUCUCCUGACCUAAUUAAAUGAGUUCUGGUAUUUGUGUGAAUUUGCCCAUUGAAAUGAUGUGAACCUAUUUUCCUUUUUUCAGUAGGGACCUAGAGCUACACAUUUGUCCUAAUUUUCCUGUUUUGGGUUCCUGAUCAUUUAUCUUAUGAGCACUCUGUAGCUUUAUGUGUAUCUAGCAUAAAUUGACUCUUUGCAUAAAAACAGACUCAGCAAAUUUGUUUGUCUUUCUGAGCCUUCAUUUCCUCAUCUGU
RNAcentral lists this long non-coding RNA (2425 nucleotides) under Homo sapiens (human). Its description in RNAcentral is "HSALNT0141366". Lineage: Eukaryota; Metazoa; Chordata; Mammalia; Primates; Hominidae. The record is from RNAcentral.